AUACGGAGGGGGUUAGCGUUGUUCGGAAUUACUGGGCGUAAAGCGCACGUAGGCGGACUGGAAAGUUGGGGGUGAAAUCCCGGGGCUCAACCCCGGAACUUCCUCCAAAACUUCCAAUCUAGAGAUCGAGAGAGGUGAGUGGAAUUCCAAGUGUAGAGGUGAAAUUCGUAGAUAUUUGGAGGAACACCAGUGGCGAAGGCGGCUCACUGGCUCGAUACUGACGCUGAGGUGCGAAAGCGUGGGGAGCAAACAGGAUUAGAAACCCUAUAGUCC
Molecule: ribosomal RNA, 273 nt
Filed under: uncultured bacterium
Lineage: Bacteria
Description: partial 16S ribosomal RNA
Rfam family: Bacterial small subunit ribosomal RNA
Source: RNAcentral